RNAcentral lists this antisense RNA (69 nucleotides) under Saccharopolyspora spinosa. RNAcentral describes it as "ASpks TB sRNA". It matches the Rfam family "ASpks TB sRNA". The record is from RNAcentral. Lineage: Bacteria; Bacillati; Actinomycetota; Actinomycetes; Pseudonocardiales; Pseudonocardiaceae.
CUUCACCGAACCCAGCAACAACGGCACAUCCCGCUCCUGCCCAUACGUGGCCAGCAACGCCUGCGCCUC